UACAGAGGGUGCGAGCGUUGAUCGGAAUUACUGGGCGUAAAGGGCGCGUAGGCGGCUUUGCAAGUCGGGUGUGAAAUCCCCAGGCUUAACCUGGGAACUGCAUUCGAGACUGCAUUGCUAGAGUAUGGGAGAGGGAAGUGGAAUUUCCGGUGUAGCGGUGAAAUGCGUAGAUAUCGGAAGGAACAUCAGUGGCGAAGGCGGCUUCCUGGACCGAUACUGACGCUGAUGUGCGAAAGCGUGGGGAGCAAACAGG
Molecule: ribosomal RNA, 253 nt
Filed under: uncultured bacterium
Lineage: Bacteria
Description: partial 16S ribosomal RNA
Rfam family: Bacterial small subunit ribosomal RNA
Source: RNAcentral